This 1269-nucleotide long non-coding RNA is filed under the name Manihot esculenta (cassava). RNAcentral describes it as "long non-coding RNA (MESC_LNC002994)". Lineage: Eukaryota; Viridiplantae; Streptophyta; Magnoliopsida; Malpighiales; Euphorbiaceae. The record is from RNAcentral.
AAGUUUUGAACUUGGAGACCCAAGGAGCUCAAUCUCUCCCAACUCCAAGUUAGAUCGCCUCCACUCUCGAUCUUCAAGAGGUAAGAGUCGAUCUCUAGCUUACAUUAUGUUUUAAACAAGUUUUAUGCAAGAUCUGUGGGGUAGAGAUGCAUGUUUAGGUUUGUUGAUGAGUUUAUGGUUUUGAUGCUUUGAUGAACAAUGUAGCUUGAUUGUGUGUGUAUGAAGUGUUGUAGAUGGGGUAUAUGCAUGUUUGAGACCCCUAGGAACUUGUAUGUAUGUUUUGGUUGAGAAAUAUGCAUGAUCUGUGGUUUUGGGAGGCAGGAGGUUCAUUUGAACCAAGUUUCUGCCGUUUGGCAGAAACCAGGUUCGGCAGCCGAAGGGAGUUUCGGCCGCCGAACCCCUCUUGUGAAGGCAGCUUUCGGCUGCCGAAGGUGCCCCCGAAAAGAGACUUUCGUCUCUGUCUGGCACUUUCGGCCGCCGAAGGUGCCGCCGAACCUAGCUGAGUUUCGUCUCUGUCCAGGACUUUCGGCCGCCGAAGGUGCCGCCGAAGGUGCCCUGUUCAGCCAUUUCAUGCAUAUUUUCUGUGAUGUUUUCAUGAUGUUUUGGGGGAUAUAUUAGAGAUAUGUUUAUAUGUGUUUGGUCCCUCAUUGGAGUCCACCUGUGUAGGUUCGGACCCGAGGAACCAAGGACCCCAGCAGUGAGCCAGCUGCUGAGAGUUUGACAGAGUCAGCCAGAGGUGAGUGGAACUAUACUUAAUCUUUUAAAUUAAGAAAGUGAAUAUUUUAUCAUGUUUCAUGCAUCAUGACUAUAAUAUAGGAUGUUUGCAUUAGAAUCACGAAUAUGCUACAUUGCAUUAUUAUAUUGUGGUUGAUGAGGAGGGACAUUGCACGACUCACUAGUCCUGUGUACGAAGUCCUGUGGUGCCCAUAAUAGGGCCGGGCAAUAGCUCCGAUUUACGAAGUCCUGUGGUGCCCAUAAUAGGGCCGGGCAAUACGAAGUCCUGUGGUGCCCAUAAUAGGGCCGGGCAAUACGAAGUCCUGUGGUGCCCAUAAUAGGGCCGGGCAUGGAGCUGAGGGAUUUUUGGGUCGGUCCUUCCAUGAUGUGAAAUGUUUGUGCAAUGAUGCAUUCCAUUAUAACAUGUUUUAAAUAUUUUUUUUAUAUAGUUCUACUCACUGGGCAUCUAGCUCACCCCUCUCCCCUAACCCCCAGGUUUGCAGGUACGGGAUUGAUAGAGAAGAAAAGAAGAGAAAAGUCCUAUGUAUGUAAUAG